This 499-nucleotide ribosomal RNA is filed under the name uncultured bacterium. RNAcentral's name for it is "partial 16S ribosomal RNA". It matches the Rfam family "Bacterial small subunit ribosomal RNA", at positions 28 to 507 of the family's 1533-position model. The record is from RNAcentral.
GACGAACGCUGGCGGCGUGCUUAACACAUGCCAGUCGAACGGGCCCGCUCUCUUUUUUGGGGGUGGGUUGAGUGGCGAACGGGUGAGUAUCACGUGAGUAACCUGCCCCCUGCUCCUGGAUAACUGCUUGAAAGGGCGGCUAAUACGGGGUGUGCCGGCUGGUCCGCAUGGGCCUGGUCGGGAUAGUUUCAUCUUCGGGUGUUUCGGUGGGGGAUGGGCUCGCGGCCUAUCAGCUUGUUGGUGGGGUGAUGGCCCACCAAGGCGGUGGCGGGUAGCCGGCCUGAGAGGGUGGGCGGCCAGACGGGGACUGAGACACGGCCCAGACUCGUGCGGGAGGCAGCAGUGGGGGGUAUUGCACAAUGGGCGGAAGCCUGAUGCAGCGACGGCGCGUGAGGGAUGGAGGCCUUCGGGUGGGGAACCUCUUUCUCCGGUGGUGAAGGCCCUGUCCGUUGCGGCGGGGUUGACGGUAGCCGGGGAUGAAGCGCCGGCUAACUACGUG